GACGAACGCUGGCGGCGUGCUUAACACAUGCAAGUCGAACGGAAAGGCCUCUUUCGGGGGUACUCGAGUGGCGAACGGGUGAGUAACACGUGAGUAACCUGCCCUUGACUUUGGGAUAACUUCAGGAAACUGGGGCUAAUACCGGAUAGGAGCUCCUGCUGCAUGGUGGGGGUUGGAAAGUUUCGGCGGUUGGGGAUGGACUCGCGGCUUAUCAGCUUGUUGGUGGGGUAGUGGCUUACCAAGGCUUUGACGGGUAGCCGGCCUGAGAGGGUGACCGGCCACAUUGGGACUGAGGUACGGCCCAGACUCCUACGGGAGGCAGCAGGGGGGAAUAUUGCACAAUGGGUGGAAGCCUGAUGCAGCAACGCCGUGUGCGGGAUGACGGGCUUCGGGUUGUAAACCGCUUUCGCUCAUGACGAAGCUUUGUGUGACGGUAGUGGGUAAAGAAGCACCGGCUAACUACGUG
Molecule: ribosomal RNA, 466 nt
Filed under: uncultured bacterium
Lineage: Bacteria
Description: partial 16S ribosomal RNA
Rfam family: Bacterial small subunit ribosomal RNA
Source: RNAcentral